RNAcentral lists this small RNA (112 nucleotides) under Bermanella sp. Its description in RNAcentral is "RtT sRNA". It matches the Rfam family "RtT RNA". Rfam says of the family: This family represents a bacterial cis-regulatory element known as RtT RNA. The exact function of RtT is unknown although it is thought that it may be involved in changing the cellular response in relation to amino acid starvation. Lineage: Bacteria; Pseudomonadati; Pseudomonadota; Gammaproteobacteria; Oceanospirillales; Oceanospirillaceae. The record is from RNAcentral.
CGAGUUAAACUUUGAGGGAGGGUGAGAAUCCUCGACAGGGUUCGACUGCGCGCAGCGCAAGCACGGAGCGAAGCGACGAGUCCGCAGGACGAUUAAUUCUCCCUCACCGCCA